RNAcentral lists this long non-coding RNA (794 nucleotides) under Olea europaea subsp. europaea. The record is from RNAcentral. Lineage: Eukaryota; Viridiplantae; Streptophyta; Magnoliopsida; Lamiales; Oleaceae.
UCACGAAAUAUGAAAACAUUUCCGUAUCUUUAGCAUGGUGGUUAAAAAGUAAUGAAAAUUAUGGAUUCACGUGUAAAAUUAUUUUCUUCGAAGAAUACAUGAUUAAAAAUGAAUUUGAGAAUUUCUUCUUCCUCUUAUACCAAGGGAAAAGCCCCUUGUCCAGCCCUCGCACCUAUAGGAGCACCAAAUGGCGCACUUGGACAAUGGCGCCCCUGUCUGUUCAGGGCCCAUGUGGCCCUGGACGUCGAGCAGGCCCUUGUACCAAAUGAGUAUAAUCAUAUAAUAACCCAGUGCUCUCAAGGCGAUUGGAACACAUGGAACAUAACAUGAAAUCAAUCACUUGACUGGGGUCUGUCCAACAUUUGAUUCAUUAGCAAUUUGUCGAUGUUCUGCUGGGCAGUUGCAAUGAUCACCAACAUAAGCCACCUAGCAUGAUCCAAAUCCGGAUUGUGUCCGGACCCUAAUGUGUCUGUAUAUGGUGCACCCAUUGCGUCUUCGUGGAUCGACCCGUUAGUGACCCUGUCAUUUUACAAUUUUGUUUUAGAGCUUGUUUGGUACUAGCCAAUUAAAAUCAACUUUUUGAUCGUUAUUUAACUAUUACAAUCGUUAUUUUUUAAUUCUUCUCUCACGAGUAAGACAUAUUUUAUUUCUAACAUUCAAAAAAUCAAUUAUCAAAAUUUCUACCAAACAAGCACUUAAUCAAUGAACUUUAACUGCCCGACAAUCUCUUUCAAUUAGGAAAAGUUAAAGGGCCUUUUUCCAAUGAUCUUUAAAGUUAAUAACAAAUCUCUUUU